Long non-coding RNA from Acanthochromis polyacanthus (spiny chromis), 1289 nucleotides. RefSeq lists it as uncharacterized. The transcript has 4 exons. NCBI's taxonomy places the organism in Eukaryota, Metazoa, Chordata, Actinopteri, Pomacentridae. The record is from RefSeq and is a predicted model, not a curated record.
UUCUGUCUGAAUUGGUUUGCUAACUGACGGUUUAGUUACGUAGUGAGUUAACUGCACCGCAGCGUUAGCAAGAUGUGGCCGUCAACAGCCUCUGCUAAUGUCAUGAGCGCCGUUAACUUCACCACUCCCUCUCCCCCUCUCUCCUCUCCCCCUUUCUCUAAAAGGGGUGAGGUGGAUUACUGCCCCUCUUUUCCACUUGGAGAAAGUGAACAGUCCCUUGAGAAGAUGAGGGUCGAACUCCUUUCAGAUGUCAAAAAGCGCAACAACAGAGAGACAGUUCGGGCUAAGAUGGACAAAACAUUUGCAUUAAGAAGACAAGAAGUCAUCUGUGAUGCUCCCAAGAUCAGCAAUGUACAGGAGAGAUGGCCUGCUCUUUUUGAUGCAGCUGAGAUAAACGCAGAGUUCAAGCGUAUCACAACCAUGCCUCUGCAGUCAAGGUUUCUGUCCUCCUCUCUGAAAGUCUGCUGAGAGUGUUUGCAAAGCGAUCAGGGGAGCAGGGCAAAAAGCUGAAAGACACAACUGCCAUGGCGACAGAUGACAUCGAUGCUGGAAGGGAGUCCCUCAUCAAAGGACUCUGCAUCUAUCUGAAUGAGAAUCCUGAUGUCUUGGUGCAGGAGUACAUGGACAUGACUGAAGCCACUGCACUGAGAGCCAUUGAGAAAACGACAGUGGGACUCUACGUCACCAGAGAGACGCCUGAUGUUGGCAUCAUCAUCGAGGGUGUGGUGGUUCUUCAGGAUCUGGAUAAUGUGGCCCUUGCAACAGCCAUGCUGUUUGGACUUUUUUACUGCUUGAACAUGAGUUACCCAUCACAGCUCCGCUACACUUUUGAGGUGAUUCAAAAGGUGGUAAUGGAGUUGGAUGUGACUCAACUCUCAAGAAAAGCUCAAAACUUGAAGACUAAACUGCUCCAGCUCUCUGUUGUGCUUGUGGGGUAGUUUGCUCCAGGUAAGAGGACAUGUAAAGUUGUUAAGUUCACACUUGUUCCUACGUUUUGGAGAUUUUCUGGUGAGCCAUCAGUAACCCACAAAAAAUCACAGCAUUCAUUGUUGACCGUUUAUUCUGUGACUGUUCUGUAAUUGCCAUGUGAACAGGGCCAGUUUGUUUCCCCUCUUCCUCUCUGCUUGAAGUUUUCUGAAUGGCAGCAUUAAGUUUAAAUAGUUCCACCCGGGCCAUGUGAAAUGGGAUGUUUUGUGUACGUCAGUUUGAAAUAUGAAUUUAAUACUUUUUCUAAGAAACUAAUUUGAAACAAGAUGUCACAGUAAGGUCAGUGUUGGGAUUUUUGACAC